AGGUUUUCCCCUUCCCUUCCAAAGUGUAAGCCCCUGGGGUCCCCGGCGGGGAUUUGGCAGCCACAGGAAUGCGUGGGAAUACAGGAGACUUCAGGACAGGGCUUAGGGGUGUGUGUUGUUAAGAGAAAUAUCUCAUCGAGGACUUCUCUGUGUCACACUCACCCCCAAGUCUCAGGGCAAAACUGCCCAUGCCAACCCCCCGUAUCCUGGUUUCUCCCAGGUGUGUGUCCUUGUUCUGAGCAGCCUGGGACAAGGGUGUGCUCAGCAUCCCUGGCAAGGGAUGAGCGCAGCGCCGCAGUAUUUGCAGAUAUUUUGCCUUUCAGGGCGUGAAGGAGUUAAACUUUUCAGAUGGAAAGCGAACUGAAGAUCAGACCAGCAGCCUGGUGACCUCCCGCUGCUGGGACAGCAGCAGCUCCCAGCCAAGCCCGGCAGUUCCAUCCAUCCAUCGGCGUGGUGGGGCCGCGGGGAGCGGUGCACGGUGCUGCAGCUCGUGACCGUGUCUGGCUUUGACCUUCUCGGCAGCAGAUCAGGGUCCUGAAGCCCUUCAGUACAAGAGUUCUGCACCUUUCAGCGUGGCAGCCUUGAUGUAAAUAAGUAGACAUACACACACUUCGCUUGAAUCGGUGGAGCAGCUCCUGGUAGCAAAGCCAAGACCGUAAGUGCGUGCAGG
Long non-coding RNA from Corvus hawaiiensis (hawaiian crow), 670 nucleotides. RefSeq lists it as uncharacterized. The record is from RefSeq and is a predicted model, not a curated record. The transcript has 3 exons. Lineage: Eukaryota; Metazoa; Chordata; Aves; Passeriformes; Corvidae.